This 342-nucleotide unclassified non-coding RNA is filed under the name soil metagenome. RNAcentral describes it as "partial contains 5.8S ribosomal RNA, internal transcribed spacer 2, and large subunit ribosomal RNA". The stretch from base 1 to 120 matches the Rfam family "5.8S ribosomal RNA", at positions 35 to 154 of the family's 154-position model. The record is from RNAcentral.
GAUGAAGAACGCAGCGAAAUGCGAUAAGUAGUGUGAAUUGCAGAAUUCAGUGAAUCAUCGAAUCUUUGAACGCACAUUGCGCCCGCCAGCACUCUGGCGGGCAUGCCUGUUCGAGCGUCAUUUCAACCAUCAAGCCCCCAGGGGCUUGUGCUGGGGCCCUGCGGCUGGCCGCAGGCCCUGAAAACCAGUGGCGGGCUCGCUAGUCACACCGAGCGCAGUAGCACAUCUCGCUCAGGGCGUGCGGCGGGCUCCUGCCGUGAAACCCCCCACUGUAACCCCAAAGGUUGACCUCGGAUCAGGUAGGAAUACCCGCUGAACUUAAGCAUAUCAAUAAGCGGAGGA